Molecule: ribosomal RNA, 92 nt
Filed under: uncultured bacterium
Lineage: Bacteria
Description: partial 16S ribosomal RNA
Rfam family: Bacterial small subunit ribosomal RNA
Source: RNAcentral
CGUGGAGGACGAAGGCUUUCUGAGUUGUAAACUCCUUUCAGCAGGGACGAUAGUGACGGUACCUGCAGAAGAAGCACCGGCCAACUACGUGC